CCGAGUUUACAACUCCCAAACCCCAGUGUGAACCUCUACCUCAUCGUUGCCUCGGCGGGAUCGCCCCGGCGCGCCCCCCUCCAGGGGCGUCCGGACCACACGGCGCCCGCCGCAGGACCCCCUAAACUCUCUCGCCUCUCCGGCGUCGUUUUCUUCUGAGUAGACCUUUUUCCCCGCGAGAGCGGGGUGAAAAUGAAUCA
Molecule: unclassified non-coding RNA, 200 nt
Filed under: uncultured fungus
Lineage: Eukaryota; Fungi
Description: sequence contains ITS1, 5.8S rRNA gene
Source: RNAcentral